RNAcentral lists this ribosomal RNA (369 nucleotides) under Triticum aestivum (bread wheat). RNAcentral's name for it is "partial small subunit ribosomal RNA". The record is from RNAcentral. Lineage: Eukaryota; Viridiplantae; Streptophyta; Magnoliopsida; Poales; Poaceae.
AUGGAUCUAUUUUCAAAUUUGACAAGUAUUACACUCAGCAACCUGCACUUGACAGUCGUCGUUUCACCGCUUGCUUACCAACAAGUUCUGUUGCUUGGUUUGUGGGCAUUGCCAGAACUGACCUUCCUAUUUGGUCUUGAUCUGCAUCAGGACUCAUGGGACUAUGUGUGGCAAUGUUGGCCAACUGGGCAAGCAGAGCAUCCCUCUCAGAUGCAAACUGGCGCAACUGCACUAGAACCAACAAUUCUGCUUGUCCGGUGCAGUUCAUGUCAGAAUUUGUGCUUCUUCUGCUGGUACCGUGCAUGUAUAGUCAGUGAACAAACCAAGUUAAGGCACACUUGGAUCGGGCACCCUGAAGUUUGUACUUAA